GAUGAACGCUGGCGGCGUGCUUAACACAUGCAAGUCGAACGGAAAGGCGCGGCUUUUGUGGGUUUCUCGAUUGGCGAACGGGUGAGUAACACGUGUGUAACCUCUCCUUGUCUUUGUGGUAACUUUAGGAAACUGCGGCUAAUACCCGAUAUGAUCUCCUGCUGCGUGUGGUUGGUUGGAAAGUUUCGGCGGUUGGGGAUGGACUCGCGGCUUAUGAGCUUGUUGGUGGGGUAGUGGCUUACCAAGGCUUUGACGGGUAGCCGGCCUGAGAGGGUGACCGGCCACAUUGGGACUGAGAUACGGCCCAGACUCCUACGGGAGGCAGCAGUGGGGAAUAUUGCACAAUGGGCGGAAGCCUGAUGCAGCAACGCCGCGUGCGGGAUGACGGCCUUCGGGUUGUAAACCGCUUUCGCCUGUGACGAAGCGUGAGUGACGGUAAUGGGUAAAGAAGCACCGGCUAACUACGUG
Molecule: ribosomal RNA, 468 nt
Filed under: uncultured bacterium
Lineage: Bacteria
Description: partial 16S ribosomal RNA
Rfam family: Bacterial small subunit ribosomal RNA
Source: RNAcentral